GUGUUUUUCUUGGCCAAGAGUGUUCAAGGGAAAGCGAACAGCAUAUUCAAAGGCCUUGAGGCAGGAGGGUGCUAGAACAGCUGGCCAGAGCACAGUGAGCUGAGGACACGGGGAAUAGAAGAGUUUAGUAAGGAAAUGUGGGGCAGUUUAUGUUGGGACUAGUAAAGCAUGGCCAGAAUUUUGAAUUUUAUCCCGACUGACAUGUAAGAGCUACAAGAGAGGUUUGACUUAUGAAGAUCCCCACACUUGCUGCUAUGGAGAAAAGUGAAAGGAAAAGUGGGGUGACCAGAUAUAGACACCGCAAUAACUAGGGAGAGAGGACGGUGGCUUUGAUAGGAUUAUAGUGGCCAAGUUGGUGAGCUUCAGGUUCUGGAUACAUGCAGAGAACAGAGGCAACAGGAUUUACAGAUGAAUUACAUGAGACACGGAAGAAUGACUCCAGGGUUUUAAGGUACUGAAAGUAUGGAUCUGCCAUUUAUUUAGACGUUGAUGGUCAUGGGGAGCUGAAGCUUGGUUUUAGACACAAGUAAUGAGUGCCUACUAAGACACCUGUUAAAUAGAGAUGUCUAGCAGGCAGUUAGAUAUACAAUUUUGAAGUCUACGAGAGACUAAGCUAGAUAUAUAAUCUUGGGAGUCAACACUUAUUUGGAACUAUAUAUUUGUUUAAAGUCUCCCAGGGAGUGAGUAAAGUUGGGAGAGGGUCCUAUUGAAUUGGAGGUAUCGAAGAUGAAAAGGAAUUAGCAAAGAAGAACGGGACGGAGGGACUCUUGAACGGACAACUACGGGAGUGAUGUCACAGGUCAUUUAUCUGCCAAAUUAUUUUCGCUUAAGAGAUUUCAGUCCUUCCAAAAAACCCUCAAGAUAAUUUUAUGAUUCAAGAUUUCAGCGAAUGCUGUAAGAUAAUAGACUGUGGCCGGGCGCGGUGGCUCACGCCUCUAAUCCCAGCACUUUGGGAGGCAGAGGAAGGGGGACUGCUUGAGCCCAGGAGUUCAAGAUCGGCCUGGGUAACAUAAUUUUUUUUGAAGAACAGAGCAGGGUAUCCCGCGACCCAAGCCAAGACGCUCUCAGGAAGAAAGCCCAGCACGCAGCCGCCCUCGCACCCUGAUUGCCCCCGGGGCGAGGUCCCCGGCUGAAGCGGGGCUGCAGAAGCCGGGAAGCAACGCCGAGGACCGAGCCGACCGAUGGGCGCAUGCAGUGAGGGGAACCGGGGCCGCCAUGCCGGGCACGUUCCCAAAGGGUUGCACUGGGCGCUGCAGCGUGGGAAACCCCCGUGGCGGUCACCACUGGCGCUAGCUGAGGCGAGACUCACCUUGAGCCGUGGCCCCCUCACUGCUGUAACCCAGGUUCCAUGGCUGCAUGGACAGCUCAAUUUUCAUCAGAAGGGAGCCUCAAAAUUCUAGCAUACUGAGACCCAAAACUUACAAACCGCCUCAGCUGGCGACCUACCGGGAAAAAAAAAAAAAAAAAAAAAAAGCAUGCGGCGCAUGCGCGUCCAAGGCCGCGGACCGGAAGCUGGAGCUCGCCUGUUGGGAGCCGCGUCCGCCGGUGUUGGUGUCUGCAAUUGGAACGACGUAGGGAAUGCGUUGUCCCUGCUAGGUACUUUUCAGUCGCAGAGUUCUCUUCUUCUUCUUUCUUCCUUUUUUUUUUUUUUUUUUUUGAGACGGAGUCUCGCUGUGUCCCUCAAGCUGGAGUGCAGUGGCGCGAUCUCGGCUCACCGCAGCCUCCGCCUCCUGGGUUCAAGCGAUUCUCCUGCCUCAGCCUCCCGAGUAGCUGGGAUUACAGGCGCCCACCACCAUGCCCAGAUAAUUUUUGUAUUUUUCAGUAGAAAUGGGGUUUCACCAUGUUGUCCAGGCUGGUCUCGAACUCCUGACCUCAGGUGAUCCACCGGCCUCGGCCUCCCACAGUGCUGGGAUUACAGGCCUGAGCCACCGAGCCCGGCCGGAGUUUUUCUACUUAAUACCUCUCCAUGCCAACCCCGUUGUCAUUUCCCAGCGGCCGCCUCUAUAACGGGCACUUUUCAGGGACAAAGAAUUGGUCCGUUAAUGUUCCUCAAACUCGAACGCGCCUAGGAAUAGUUCGGGGAUCCUGUUGAAGUGCAGAUCAGGAUUCCGUAGGUAGGGGUGGGGUUCCACAUUCUACAUUUCUAGUAUCUUCCCACACGAUGGUGAUCCUCCUUGUCCCUGAAUCAUGGAGGAGGGCAAUUAGGGAGAUGUGAGCCUGGAUGCAUGGUGGCCUUGGCUAUCUUAGGUGUUCUUGCCCAUUAACCAAGCUGGGAGGAACCGUGUGAAUGCAUAUCUAUCCCUGUUAAUAAAAGGGUAGUUUGAAGGAGAUGCUGACAGGAAAAUAAUUAGAAAUGUUUUUCUUCCCAAUCCAACUAUAUGCAAUACACUUUAUAAUAUUCAUUUUAGAAAUGUCAUAGAUAAGAUUUGUAAACAUUGACAUUUAGCAAUACUAAAUAUCACUGCUAGGUCUCCCCUCCACUUUUUUUUUUUAAACAAAAAUACGACAGUAUGUAUUGUAGGUCUUCAUAAACUACGUCUUCUGCAUGGUGUUUCAUGAGCGUUUUUCAAUGUCAUAAUUUAUUUUUUCCUCCAACAUUUAUUAUGAAAAAAUUCAAGUGUAAAGCGAAGUGGAGAGAAUUUUACAGUGGAGCAGACCUCAAGAGAAGGGGAAGGAUGGAUUUCCCCUCUAUUUAGCAGUGUCUGAAGACAUUUUGGGUUGUCACAACUGGAAGGAUGGUAUUGGCAUGGGGUAGGUAGAGCACAGGGAUGCUCCUCAACUUCCUACAAUGAACAGGACAUCCUCCGACAGCAACGAAUUUGCUGGUCCAAAAUGUUGAUAGUGUUGAGGUUGAAAAACACUGACCUGGAGAGUACAGAAUUUUACUCUACCAGCUUUGUCACAUACCUCAUCAAUCUAUCUGUUUUCAUACAUUUAGAAGUAAACUGCAGACAGUACGCUUCUAAGUACCUCUAAUGCACAUCAUUGGAGUUCAAAUUAAGGAUUUUUUAAGGUAAAAAUGAAAUGCAUACCUUAAAUACACAUCAGUUUUUAAAUGCACACGCGUAUGGAACUCAAGCCAUAUUAACAUAUAGAACGUUACCAUCACCCUAGAAAGUUCUUUCAUGCCCUUUCUUAGUUCCCAUCCAGUUCUCCCCAAAGGUAACCACUGUUCUGAUUUUUUCCCCCACCAUACUUAUUUUUCUUGUUCUAGAACGUCAUAUGGUUGGAGUCAUGCAAUAGAUAUUUUUGUGUAAGGGUUCUUUCACUCAGGGUAAUAUUUUCAUCUGAUAUCAUGUGUAUCACUUUGAUUGCUCAGUAGUAUUCCAUCAUAUGAAUAUGCCAGUUCCAUUCUUGUUUUGAUAGAAACCUGGGCUGUCUUCAGUUUUUUGGCUAUUAUAAAUAAAGCUGCUGUGAACGUU
Long non-coding RNA from Pan troglodytes (chimpanzee), 3422 nucleotides. RefSeq lists it as uncharacterized. The record is from RefSeq and is a predicted model, not a curated record. NCBI's taxonomy places the organism in Eukaryota, Metazoa, Chordata, Mammalia, Primates, Hominidae. The transcript is spliced from 2 exons.